UACGGAGGGUGCAAGCGUUAAUCGGAAUUACUGGGCGUAAAGCGCACGCAGGCGGUCUGUCAAGUCGGAUGUGAAAUCCCCGGGCUCAACCUGGGAACUGCAUUCGAAACUGGCAGGCUGGAGUCUUGUAGAGGGGGGUAGAAUUCCAGGUGUAGCGGUGAAAUGCGUAGAGAUCUGGAGGAAUACCGGUGGCGAAGGCGGCCCCCUGGACAAAGACUGACGCUCAGGUGCGAAAGCGUGGGGAGCAAACAGGAUUAGAUACCCUGGUAGUCCACGCUGUAAACGAUGUCGACUUGGAGGUUGUUCCCUUGAGGAGUGGCUUCCGGAGCUAACGCGUUAAGUCGACCGCCUGGGGAGUACGGCCGCAAGGUUAAA
This 375-nucleotide ribosomal RNA is filed under the name uncultured bacterium. RNAcentral's name for it is "bacterial SSU rRNA". It matches the Rfam family "Bacterial small subunit ribosomal RNA", at positions 524 to 898 of the family's 1533-position model. The record is from RNAcentral.